Molecule: ribosomal RNA, 253 nt
Filed under: uncultured bacterium
Lineage: Bacteria
Description: partial 16S ribosomal RNA
Rfam family: Bacterial small subunit ribosomal RNA
Source: RNAcentral
UACGAAGGGGGUUAGCGUUGCUCGGAAUGACUGGGCGUAAAGGGCGCGUAGGCGGUUUGUACAGUCAGGUGUGAAAUUCCCGGGCUCAACCUGGGGGCUGCACUUGAUACGUAUGGACUGGAGUGGGGAAGAGGGUCGUGGAAUUCCCAGUGUAGAGGUGAAAUUCGUAGAGAUCGGGAGGAACACCAGAGGCGAAGGCGGCGACCUGGAUAGGCACUGACACUCAACUACGAAAGCGUGGGGAGCAAACAGG